CAUUAAAUUAUAUACUUAAAACGGAUCCAUUUUAUGGUAGAUAAAUGAUACCUCAAUAAAACCAUUAAUCAAAUAUUAAUUGCAAAUAGAACUGAGAGUGGAGAAAUCAUUUCUGGUUUUGGACAUUAGGAAAGGCUUCCUGGAGGAGGUGGCAUACAUGAUGGACUUGAUAAGUUUAUUUUUAGAUAAGAACAUUUUAAACAUUCCAACAGUAAGAGACUAUUGAAAAUAAAUGAAAUUCAUUGAAUAGAAGUAAUUAAAAUAAUAAUGUAACUCUUUAAGCAUUGCAAUGGAACCAUCCAGGAAAACUUGACUUCUCAAAUGAACUAAAUAAGCCACCAUGGACCAAUCCUGGAGAAACAGAGAUAUGUGACCUUUCAGAGAGAGAAUUCAA
RNAcentral lists this long non-coding RNA (394 nucleotides) under Homo sapiens (human). Its description in RNAcentral is "non-protein coding lnc-HS3ST4-2:4". Lineage: Eukaryota; Metazoa; Chordata; Mammalia; Primates; Hominidae. The record is from RNAcentral.